AGUUAAUAAUUUCGCCAGUCACGCCUGAAUGCUGCAGAAAAAUUAAAACGAAGAAGCGUACUCCCGUUAGCUCAAUGCGCUGACUCAAAAACUCAGCGAGCCAAGAAACCGCUAACCGCCGGCAGCAGAGAAAAACCGCUCGUCCAAAGCAGCUGCUAAUGAGUUUAUUAAGUUCAGUGACAAUUCAUUAACAUUUCAUAUAAAAUAUCUCCGGCAUCACUGUAACUGUCAUCAUCAAACGCCGCUCUUUUUCAUCGGAAGCUCAGAGCGUACCUAAGGAAAUAGCAAUAAUAUCCGCUUGUUUAAAAACUUAAAUAUGUGAUAUUAAAUAGUUGAACAAGUUUUCUAACUUAACUUUCAAUAAACCUAGUGUUUCCGGUAAUUUCCAAACAGAAAACGCGUGUGUAAAAUUAAGUAAUUAUAAUAGAAGCUGUUGAGCACAAAAUGGUGGUUUCACUGCUGCCGUUGACAAGCAAAUUCGCAAGUGAGUGUAAUUAAAAAGUGAUGCUACGACCAAUUGUGAUUUUUCCAAUAAGAAAAGCUGUAACAUGGACCAUGUAUUCUA
Molecule: long non-coding RNA, 565 nt
Organism: Bactrocera dorsalis (oriental fruit fly)
Lineage: Eukaryota; Metazoa; Arthropoda; Insecta; Diptera; Tephritidae
Exons: 3
Source: RefSeq, a predicted model, not a curated record